Long non-coding RNA from Sander lucioperca (pikeperch), 111 nucleotides. RefSeq lists it as uncharacterized. Lineage: Eukaryota; Metazoa; Chordata; Actinopteri; Perciformes; Percidae. The transcript has 3 exons. The record is from RefSeq and is a predicted model, not a curated record.
CAGUAGAGGUAGCUAGGACCUAAAACGAUUUAAGACCUAGAAUACAGUACUUCAGCGAAUUUAAGACUUUUUAAGGCCUAUAAUUUUGAUUUUGAAAUUUUAGACUUUUUA